RNAcentral lists this long non-coding RNA (6036 nucleotides) under Heterocephalus glaber (naked mole-rat). Its description in RNAcentral is "lncRNA (ENSHGLG00000033199.1)". The record is from RNAcentral. Lineage: Eukaryota; Metazoa; Chordata; Mammalia; Rodentia; Bathyergidae.
CUUCAGGGCCACUGUGAGCCUCUGCCCUGGGCAGCUUUCACUAUGCAGAGAAAAUUUCUUUUCUGCCUCUCAUAAACCUAUACUUUAACUGCCUUUUCUGCAUGUCUUGUCCAAUUCUUUGUUCAAGACAUCAACAACCUGGAAAGAAACCUUGUAGGACCAGUUGCAGAGCCAGAAAAAGUGCCCACGGGAAUGCAGACACUGUCACUGCUUUGGAGGCUGGAUAUGCAGCCUAAGGAAAUUAGUGCUUAACAAGAGCCGGGCUCUGCUGGCUUUGCAACUCUUGCCUGGAGGCUGUGGCUGCACCAGGGGCCAAAGCAGUCAGAGAGGCGGGCCUGGCAGAGGCUGUGGUCACCUCUAAGAUUGCUGAGCCUCAGAAGUCCUCAAGGCACACACAGUCAGUAAUAGUCUAGGCUCUAAGAGCCAGAGGAAAGGGGGGGUGUUUGCAUUUUCCUCAUCUCCACAGCUGCCUCCAGCUGAAGGCCCCUGUAAGUAACCUGAGCUUUUUGACUUUUAGGUUCCUUUCUGUUUCCCAGUUAGAAGGCCUUCAGGUCUGUCUGCUGCAGGGCCCUCUGUACUGGGAAGGAGACUGUGGGGCAGGGACUCGACCUUUGGGCUUCCGGCCUGUCAGAUCCUGAGCCCAGAAAACUGCUUUGCAGAGCUAUUGUGCUGGCCCUGGAGAGAGGUGGCCUCUAGAGGAAUGCUGUGUGGCAACUUCCCACACAAUGCUCCUGACUUCACAGUACCCCUUGGCUAGGGAAAGGACCCGAAGCCUGCUUUCAUGAGGCUGUGGAGAACCCUAAGAAGCUGGUGGGACUUCUUACACUCUGAGUCCCUUCUCCAGAGAAUUUGGGAGGAGCAGUGCUUUUCUAAAACUUGCCUUCCUAGAACUCAACCUCCUCCCUUGCCCCCCACCCCCCAGCAAUGUUCCAGAAUCUGGGAACAGGGCACAGAGCAAAAGAAAGAUGCCUAUUUUUGCAGAAUUUAUAUUUUAACGAGAAGCCAGAAAGUAAGCAGAAUAAAUGUGUGAGAUCUGCUGUGGAGAAAAAUGAAACAGAGAACAGCAUGAGGGAUGGUGGGGCUGGUGUGCUUCUCCCAGACAGCGUGGCCUCGCUGACAGGCCACAUCUGAGCCUGAUGGAGUAGAGAAUCAGAGCUGAGGGUGAGCUGGGGCUGAACAUCCUGGGUUUCUGCUGGUGACAGCGGAGGGCAUAACCCCUAAUGGCCCCAGGGCUUGGAGCUCCUGCCUCUACACUGACUUCUGCCCUGAGAAGAGGCUGGUGCCAUAGAGGGGAGUCGGAGGGGCCUUGUCCUGCUGUGAAGAAAGUUCCAGAGUCCUGGCCUGUACUCCCUGGUUGCUGGAAGAAGAUAACUCUUGGGAAGUUUAGAAAUCGUCUCCCAGACAUGUAACAAGGAGUUGCUGAGCUGGUGGUGCUGAGUCUUCUUUGCCAUGGAUUUCACCUUCAGAAGCUGUAACCUCCAUAGAUUUCAAGGGUAUGAAAGGUCCUGAGACUACACUGUUGGAACGACUGCAUCACACCACUCUGCGCUCCCAGAGGUAGACAGGAGGGAGAAGCAUCUUUCCACUUUAUCCACGUUACCCAUUGUUGUUACUGAUUUAUUUUUAAAUCCAACUUGGCUUCUCCCCUGAAAACUGUUGAGAAGUAAAGAAAACUGACCAUAGCUUCCUGAAGUCAAAGCACCUAAAACAAAGAGAAGGCCAUGGAAGUGAGUAAGGGGCUUCUCCAAGACUGCAAGGUCACCCAAGGUCCCUACCGUCCAUGCUGCUGAGAAGCUGCCAGUUUCUUCUUUGCUUGGUUGGUCUCACAACCAACCACCCACUCCCACCCACUAUACCUCAACACCCAACCUGGAGAGGUGUUGUUCUCUGGGUCCUGAAAACACUAAGGGAAGCUGGGAGUAGGGGGCACAUGCCUGUAAUCCCACCACUUGGGAGGCUGAGGCAGGAAGAUGGUGAGUUCCAGGCCUGGAUUGCAUAGAAAGACUAUGUCUCAAAACACACACACACACACACACAUGGGGACUCACUACGGCUUUGGACUGACCCACCCCCGACCUCUCUGGGAUGAUGGCGCAGGGAAGAGCACCCUCAGUCUGUGGUACACUAGCCCCUGUUCUUGGGUUGGGGCUCAGAUGAAAAGCGAAGGUCACUUUUCUAGGCCUGAAGAGGAAAUGUAAAUCUCUCCCAGCCCACGUGGCAGAAGCUGCCAGAAGGCCAUUGCCCUGUUAGUAAACAGGGCUGCCUGGGCCAUCUUUCUCUUUUGUAAUAACCUGCAGGGCACCUAUUGAUUGCACGUGCUGGUCCCUCAUAAGUGAGGACAGGGCUGUCUUCCGGUUGCUCUGGAGCUGUGAGGGUGCCUAAAUUGGCUGACUAAUACUGCAUGCUCAUGGAGCACAGUGUCCUGUGCCACCUAAACAUGAAGAAUAUGUAUCAUCAGGCGCCGUGAGAGUGCAGGCCCCAACUCCAGCGGCUUCAAGGCUUCCGGGCGUGCUGCAGACUGCAAUUAGGCAGUUUGCUUGCCUCCUCCCGAGAGGAAAGAACACUGAUGUGGCUCCUGCUGCAGCCUGAGCUACUUUAAGAUGGAGGGAGCGGCAGGUCUUGGAGGGUGGGCAAUGGGCCAGCUCCUCACCUCAGCUACCCCCUCAGCAGGAAUGGCAGCCAGCAAAUAGAAACCAACCCACAUCUUUUAGCCUGUGGUGGACAGAGUUAUGACUCAAAAGACACGUUCAAAACCCCCACUUCGGCCACUUUUGGCUGUGUGAUAUUAGUGGCUUAACCUCUCUGAGCCUCAGCAUCUCAUCUGGAAAGUUGAGAAAAUAAUAUUUCCUUAAUUGUUCAUGUGGUUAGGCCUGCCUGGAACCCAGUAUCCUCUCAUAAAUACCGGCACUGAGUCAAAAGCAGCUGAACACAGCAGUAGGUACCGGACUGAAACUACUUUUCCUUUCCACCCCUGAAAUCUGGCACCAGGAACUUUUCAGUGCUAUUGCCAGGCAAUGCCUUGCUAUCUAAGAAGUGAGGCCAGGAAACUCCUGGCUUGAUAAAUUGGAAUUAUCUCUCCCAUCCCUUUCAUCUUUCUGUGCCCCUCCUGACCUAGCUUCUGAAUUUAACAUUGAUUCCACAGGGAAUGUCACUAAAAUGUAUCGUGAACACAGAGAAGCAUGGCACCAUAGCUUACCCUUCUAAAAGAAAACCUUGGCACCCGCAGGCCCACCCUGGGCAGAGCCUUCAGAGCGUCUCUAACUCUGGCCCUGGACAAUGGGCUCUAUGAGUAGCACUGUCCUUGCAGCUCACUUGUGGCUCCUUUGUUGAUGUUGCCACAAUCAAAGCCGAUGAAAGGACGGUGUGAAGAGCCAUAUUUCCAUAUUUUCCUCCUGGUCCUGGAAAUGACAUCUACUGCCUUGGGACGGAGGGUACAGUGGGUGAAUGGUGCCCCCCAAAUAUAUGAUCACACGGGGACCCUGUGAGUGUGAUCUUCUUUGGGCAAAGGGUCUUUACAGAUGUGAUUAAAUCAGCAUCUUGAGCUGCCAUUGUUCUAAAUUACCUGGGGUGGGCAGGCGGCGUAAAUGGAGUGACAAGGGUCCCUUGAGACAGAAGAGGGACUGGCACAGAGAGAAGCUCAGGAGAAGAUGAUGGAGAUGCAGCCUGGAGUGAAGCAGCCCCAGUCAAGGCUUCCUGGGCCAUCAGGAGCGGGGGGGGGGGGGGCAGAGGAAGACUGUCUGGAGAGCCUUUGGAAGGAGGGAGUGUGGCCCUGCUGACACCUGGGUUUGGGACUCUGGCUUCUACAAUUGGGAGAGGAUGAAUUUCUAUUACUUUAGGCUACUGCUGAGGCUUAGAUACGGUUUUUCUCCAAAAGCUCAUGUGCCCGAGACUUGGUCCCUGAUGUCCUGGUAUUGAGGUGUUGAUGACUUUCAGAAGGGUGAUUAGCCAGGGGCAGCACCCUCAGAAAGACCGGCUUGGUUACCCUCAUAGGGGAUUGAUAAAAACGAAUGUGGCUUUCUUUUUUGUUGUUGUUUUUUUGAGACAGGAACUCACUAUGUAGUUCAGGCUGGUCUAGACUCACUAUGUAGCCCAUGCUGGCUUCAAACUCAUGGCAAUCCUCCUGCCUCAGCCUCCUGAGUGCUGGCAUUACGGGGAUGCACCACUAUGCCUGGCUUCUUCUCUCAGCAUAUGACCUCUCCUGCCUGUGCUGCUGCCCUGUGAUGCCAUCUGCCCAGAAGCUGAGGCUACACAAUGCCACACACUUGGACCUCCAGAACUGUAAGCUAAAUAAACCUCCUUAUUUUCUUUAUGAAGGAAGGUAUCUUAUGAUACGAACAAGGUAUCUUGUUAUAGCAACACACAGUGGACUGAGAGCCACCAAGCUUGUGGUCGUCUGUGAUGGCGGCUCUACUCCAGCAUGCUCCUGGGGUGGGACACAGCUCAAGGUCAUCUUCCACGGGUGAUGUUUUCCCUGUCUGUGGCAGGACUUACCUGAACAACAGCCUCAGCUGGCCUGGCCUGCAAUCCAGGAGCCGCAGACAACCAGAUAGGAGUGUGGCUGAGGAUCUGCCUGGGACAGAGCCUUCUGAAAUGCUGGAAACAGGCUCCAUCUUAGAACUAGACAGACUGAUGUUGAAAUCCCAACACUGACUGACUCUGAGGCCUCUCUGCCUUUCAAGUCCCUCAUCAAUAAAGCGAGGAAAUAAUGUUUACCUUGUAGGCAAGAGCAGGUCCAGCAUCCAAAGCUUACAGAAUUUGGGUGACACUUUAAAAGAGAAAGAAUACAACGAUUUAAAUCCAAAGUUAGGGAAGGAGUCUUGGGAGGCCCUGUAUAAGUUCGGGCCCCUGAGGUGUAAGUCAGGCCCACUCUGUUCAUUGGUGCUCAGAGAAUCACAGGUGAAAACAGGGAGCACAAGGCAGAGCCUGGAUCCUGCUGAGAGCUCUGUAAGAGACAAAAGUUGUCAGCUGGGCGUGGUGGUGCACGCCUGUAAUUCCAGCGCUUGGGCGGCUGAGGCAGGAGGAUCACUUCAAGUGAGUUCUCUGUCUCCAAAAAAAAAAGAAAAGAAAAGAAAAAGAAAGUAUGGAGAUAUGUGUGGAACACAGAAGAAACUCUGAAGGAUACAUUCCAUAGAGACUGCAGUUGUUGCUCUCUUGUCUCUUUUCCCUUCCUUUUGGUAACAGGAAACUGACUUCUAGGACGAUGGCUGUGUGCUCAGCUAAAGCCACCUGUCCCAGCUUCUCUCACAGCUGGGUGUAGCCAUGAGACUAAAUUUUGGCCAAGGAAGUAUAAACAAAGCGUGAUGGCUGAAAUCCAGCUUCCCCAGAGUUCACAGAGGAAGCGCUCACCUCGUGCUCAGAGUGUGGCCCUAACGGAAAGAGGGUCCCUGAGGACAUUAACCGAGGGGAUGGGGGACUCACAUCCCACAUGAAUAAUGGCCUAAUGAAAAGGGGAAAUUAAGACGCGCACGCGCACGGAGAGCGCUGCGUGAAGAUGGGGCAGAGACCAGCAGCUACUUCUACAAAUCCAGGGACCUCAAAGGCUGUCGCAGAAGUCAGGAGAGGCAGCAGUGCUCAGAAGGCACCAAUCCUGGGUUGCCAGCCUCCAGACUGAGAGAAGGGCGACAGUUUCUGUCAUGUAAGCCGAUCGGGUGCGGCACUUUGUUACCGCAGCCCUAGAAAACGAAUGCAGACAGAUAACGUUCUUCUUCAACCAGCAGACGGAGACCGGUAUCGCAAAUGGCAGACAGAGUGCAAGGAGGAACCCGGGACCCCAAAAACCUCAGGGAGCUGUCACAUUACUCUUGCACUGCCUACCCCGGGGCUUAUUUUCUAGAAAAAUAAACUUAAGCUUUUGUUAUUGUUUUAUUUGGUUUUUGAAAUAUACGAUUUUGAUAAAUUACUCUUUGAGGGGAGGGCUUGGAAUUGAAAUAUCAGUGAAGAAUUUUUGCUUUACCUGUAACGUUUCAAUUCUGAUUUCAAGGAUAUAUUUAGGUAUUCUUUUGUAACUAAAAUAAAAUUAUUUCAUAAAUUACAUGA